Molecule: ribosomal RNA, 468 nt
Filed under: uncultured bacterium
Lineage: Bacteria
Description: partial 16S ribosomal RNA
Rfam family: Bacterial small subunit ribosomal RNA
Source: RNAcentral
GACGAACGCUGGCGGCGUGCUUAACACAUGCAAGUCGAACGGAAAGGCCCUGCUUUUGUGGGGUGCUCGAGUGGCGAACGGGUGAGUAACACGUGAGUAACCUGCCCUUGACUUUGGGAUAACUUCAGGAAACUGGGGCUAAUACCGGAUAGGAGCUCCUGCUGCAUGGUGGGGGUUGGAAAGUUUCGGCGGUUGGGGAUGGACUCGCGGCUUAUCAGCUUGUUGGUGGGGUAGUGGCUUACCAGGGCUUUGACGGGUAGCCGGCCUGAGAGGGUGACCGGCCACAUGAGGACUGAGAUACGGCCCAGAAGCCUACGGGAGGCAGCAGUGGGGAAUAUUACACAAUGGGCGGAAGCCUGAUGCAGCAACGCCGCGUGCGGGAUGACGGCCUUCGGGUUGUAAACCGCUUUCGCCUGUGACGAAGCGUGAGUGACGGUAAUGGGUAAAGAAGCACCGGCUAACUACGUG